GACGAACGCUGGCGGCGUGCCUAAUACAUGCAAGUCGAACGCUGAAGGAGGAGCUUGCUUCUCUGGAUGAGUUGCGAACGGGUGAGUAACGCGUAGGUAACCUGCCUGGUAGCGGGGGAUAACUAUUGGAAACGAUAGCUAAUACCGCAUAAUAGUAGAUGUUGCAUGACAUUUGCUUAAAAGGUGCAAUUGCAUCACUACCAGAUGGACCUGCGUUGUAUUAGCUAGUUGGUGGGGUAACGGCUCACCAAGGCGACGAUACAUAGCCGACCUGAGAGGGGGAUCGGCCCAACUGGGACUGAGACCCGGCCCAGACUCCUACGGGAGGCAGCAGGAGGGAAUCUUCGGCAAUGGACGGAAGUCUGACCGAGCAACGCCGCGGGAGUGAAGAAGGUUCUCGGAUCGGAAAGCUCUGUUGUAAGAGAAGAACGAGUGUGAGAGUGGAAAGUUCACACUGUGACGGUAGCUUACCAGAAAGGGACGGCUAACUACGUG
This 495-nucleotide ribosomal RNA is filed under the name uncultured bacterium. RNAcentral describes it as "partial 16S ribosomal RNA". It matches the Rfam family "Bacterial small subunit ribosomal RNA", at positions 28 to 507 of the family's 1533-position model. The record is from RNAcentral.